AACCCGUAAUGAUAAUAAUUCGCG
RNAcentral lists this microRNA (24 nucleotides) under Pristionchus pacificus. Its description in RNAcentral is "ppc-miR-54". Its record names the gene ppc-miR-54. Lineage: Eukaryota; Metazoa; Nematoda; Chromadorea; Rhabditida; Neodiplogasteridae. The record is from miRBase by way of RNAcentral.